GAUGAACGCUAGCUACAGGCUUAACACAUGCAAGUCGAGGGGCAGCAUGGUCUUAGCUUGCUAAGGCCGAUGGCGACCGGCGCACGGGUGAGUAACACGUAUCCAACCUGCCAUCUACUCUUGGACAGCCUUCUGAAAGGAAGAUUAAUACAAGAUGGCAUCAUGAGUUCACAUGUUCACAUGAUUAAAGGUAUUCCGGUAGACGAUGGGGAUGCGUUCCAUUAGAUAGUAGGCGGGGUAACGGCCCACCUAGUCUUCGAUGGAUAGGGGUUCUGAGAGGAAGGUCCCCCACAUUGGAACUGAGACACGGUCCAAACUCCUACGGGAGGCAGCAGUGAGGAAUAUUGGUCAAUGGGCGAGAGCCUGAACCAGCCAAGUAGCGUGAAGGAUGACUGCCCUAUGGGUUGUAAACUUCUUUUAUAAAGGAAUAAAGUCGGGUAUGUAUACCCGUUUGCAUGUACUUUAUGAAUAAGGAUCGGCUAACUCCGUG
Molecule: ribosomal RNA, 490 nt
Filed under: uncultured bacterium
Lineage: Bacteria
Description: partial 16S ribosomal RNA
Rfam family: Bacterial small subunit ribosomal RNA
Source: RNAcentral